This is a long non-coding RNA of Carassius auratus (goldfish), 1291 nucleotides long. RefSeq lists it as uncharacterized. The transcript is spliced from 3 exons. The record is from RefSeq and is a predicted model, not a curated record. NCBI's taxonomy places the organism in Eukaryota, Metazoa, Chordata, Actinopteri, Cypriniformes, Cyprinidae.
UCUAGGCAGGCCAUAGGGCCCUGUUUCUCAGAGUAAAUCUGGUUACGUUGUACCUAUGAGUGCUAUAGACCAUAGGACCUCUGAUGAUGUAUAUGAAUAAGACGUAUAUGCUAGAAAUCAACGGAGUAAGUGACAUUUUUUCCAGGAUGAAAGGACCUCAAAUAUUCGCUCUCAAAGGGAAGUAAGCCCUAUAUGUUUGGAACGACAUGAGGGUGAGUAAAUGAUGAAAAAAAUCAAUCUCAUCUGCAAUCUGCAAUCUGCAAUCUGCAAUCUCAUCUAUCCUUCUUCAGCAUUAAACUACAUCACAGGUCCAAGUCCAGGUUAAGCAUGACCACGUGCAAGAGAAAAGACUUCUUGCUUCAUCUCAGCUGAUUAGUGGAGCCAGUUGAUUGGUGUAAAUGAGGAAGCUUUCAUCCUCCUUGAGUAUAAUCUGCUUGCAUCUUUAUUGGCUAAAAGCAGGCGUGAUGCUGGUCUGACCCAAGCUGGCCCAGGUACUGUCCUCAGAUAGGGUAGUGACACUAAUGUCUUCUGACACACACAUCCCCCCAUGCCCUUCCUGUUAAAGGUACACACACAGAUACACCGCAGAAAAAAAUAUCAAAAUCUUAUGCAUGCACUUUUCAAUUACACUACUUUGGUCAAUUACUAUAUAUAUAUAUUUUUAUAUACAGCAUAUUAAAAUGCACAAUCAUGGUGGAGGCGAACAGGAACGCUCAACGCUCAACACUUUGUAACUGUCGGCUUUGGUGUAAUGGCUGCCUGUUUUCUUCUCAUCCUCUUCUGCCUUGCCUAGCUGCACAGAUCCUUGGAGCAUCUUUCCUAUGUGUCUGUUCCUCUCUGUGCUGCAACACAGCCUGUUAUUUCAAGGAAAGUGCAACCUUUGCCUUAGGCUUUAAUUAUGUUCAAUUUGCCAAGCCGAGCCUGAAAAAUUCAGAGGGUAAAAAAGCUCUAUGACCUAUUUAUUAAUGCUGCGCUGGGUCUAAAGCUACACUGAGAUCAGCACUGCAUCGCUCAACAAUAACACCCAUCUCUGGAGAACAGACUUCAAUCAUGCUGUACUCCUCUCUUACAGCAGGGAGUUCAUUACUUUAUAAUAGAUCUCUGACUAGUUAAUCAUUAUUAAAAUAAGUGUAAAAGUUAGAAGUUAAGUGUGAUUCAUCUUUGGCUUAUAUAACUUUUUAUAUAUUGUUCCACAAUACAUAAUUCUAAUAAAUAAUAAAGAGUAUAUUCCUAAAUAUAUAUUAUUUAAUAUAAUAUAUUUCAUAUAAUAUAUUAUUUAUAUGUUAUUAAA